Molecule: unclassified non-coding RNA, 268 nt
Filed under: uncultured Hypocreales
Lineage: Eukaryota; Fungi; Ascomycota; Sordariomycetes; Hypocreales
Description: sequence contains 5.8S rRNA gene, ITS2, 28S rRNA gene
Rfam family: 5.8S ribosomal RNA (bases 1-52)
Source: RNAcentral
AACGCACAUUGCGCCCGCCAGUAUUCUGGCGGGCAUGCCUGUCCGAGCGUCAUUUCAACCCUCGAACCCCUCCGGGGGGUCGGCGUUGGGGAUCGGCUCCCUCUAAACCGGGUGCCGGCUCCGAAAUACAGUGGCGGUCUCGCCGCAGCCUCUCCUGCGCAGUAGUUUGCACACUCGCAUCGGGAGCGCGGCGCGUCCACGUCCGUAAAACAACCCAAACUUCUGAAAUGUUGACCUCGGAUCAGGUAGGAAUACCCGCUGAACUUAA